Molecule: ribosomal RNA, 441 nt
Filed under: uncultured Acidovorax sp.
Lineage: Bacteria; Pseudomonadati; Pseudomonadota; Betaproteobacteria; Burkholderiales; Comamonadaceae
Description: bacterial SSU rRNA
Rfam family: Bacterial small subunit ribosomal RNA
Source: RNAcentral
UUUAAUUCGAUGCAACGCGAAAACCUUACCAACCUUUGACAUGUACGGAAUCCUUAGAGAUAGAGGAGUGCUCGAAAGAGAACCGUAACACAGGUGCUGCAUGGCUGUCGUCAGCUCGUGUCGUGAGAUGUUGGUUUAAGUCCCGCAACGAGCGCAACCCUUGUCAUUAGUUGCUACAUUCAGUUGGGCACUCUAAUGAGACUGCCGGUGACAAACCCGGAGGGAAAGGUGGGGAUGACGUCAAGUCCUCAUGGCCCUUAUGACCUGGGCUACACACGUGCUACAAUGGGCGGUACAAAGGGUCGCGAACCCGCGAGGGGGAGCCCAAUCCCAAAAAGCCGCUCUCAGUUCGGAUUGCAGGCUGCAACUCGCCUGCAUGAAGCCGGAAUCGCUAGUAAUCGCGGAUCAGCCAUGCCGCGGUCGAAUACGUUCCCGGGCCUU